UACGGAGGAUCCGAGCGUUAUCCGGAUUUAUUGGGUUUAAAGGGUGCGUAGGCGGCCUAUUAAGUCAGGGGUGAAAGACGGUAGCUUAACUAUCGCAGUGCCUUUGAUACUGAUAGGCUUGAAUGUACUUGAGGUAGGCGGAAUGUGACAAGUAGCGGUGAAAUGCAUAGAUAUCGGGAGGAACACCAGUGGCGAAGGCGGCGAUCUGGGAAGAUACUGACGCUGAGGUGCGAAAGCGUGGGGAGCAAACAGG
RNAcentral lists this ribosomal RNA (253 nucleotides) under uncultured bacterium. RNAcentral describes it as "partial 16S ribosomal RNA". It matches the Rfam family "Bacterial small subunit ribosomal RNA", at positions 524 to 776 of the family's 1533-position model. The record is from RNAcentral.